Rattus norvegicus (Norway rat) is the source of this 1034-nucleotide non-coding RNA. Lineage: Eukaryota; Metazoa; Chordata; Mammalia; Rodentia; Muridae. The record is from RefSeq and is a predicted model, not a curated record.
AAAAAGAAAAGAAAGAAAGGAUUUGAAUCCUCAAAAAAAAAAAAAAGAAAGAAAGAAAAAGAAAAAAGAAAUGUUCGACAUCCUUAGUCAUCAGGGAAAUGCAAAUCAAAAGAACCCUGAGAUUCCUCCUCACAAAAAAAAAAAAAAAAAAAAAAAAGAUACUGUUGGAUCAUAAAAGGCAGUCUGGUUUCCGGUUGAGCUACUGAAGGGAUAGUGUUUUGCCUGACUCCUUGUGAACCUGGUCCAUUACUAGCUGCAGUCCUACAUAGAUUCGUGGCCAUCAGUCACAUAAGGGCAACACCCCAAACCCUUCCACAGGUAGAGGACUUCCACACAUCCUCUUAGGCUUAAGACAGAUCUCCAUUAUACUGAGGCACCUAAAGGCUUGGAGGCUUAGCCAAUAACCUUUCCUUCCCAGACACUCCUCACUGCAAAAGGUAUUUAAUCUCAAGCCCACCCUGAGAAGCAGGGUACGGUUUUACUUAUCCACCUUUCGCCAUGAGAAUAAAUGCCUUAAAGCCAUGAACCACAUCUUUUCAUUGGGAUCCGUCAUAGGGAGCCACAGGAAAGGCCUUUGCUGCCAUCUAAUCUCCCAAAGAAGACCUCUCUGUGCUCCCAGCCACGGCUGCCACCAAGCCUGCAGCUUGCCACCAUCAAGCCAAGGACUAUUCCUGUGGAACCAGCUGUUUCCCCCUCUUUCCCCCUUGGCCCCGAGGCUAGAUCCAGCCUGAGGGCCACCACUCUGUUCUCAGCUCUUUUACUGCUUACAGACGGAUGCCAAGAGCCUGAGACUCCAAUGAUCCAGCCUCCUUGGAGGCCCAGGGACCCCCAAGCCAGCUCAGGCUGUGUCCUGUGCACUUCCCCACUCCUGGAGCGGUGUCCCGGGACUGCUGUAUGACCUGACACCAGCCCCGCAAUUGCGUGGGGAAUAUUUACUACAAUGAAACUCAAGGUUCAUGAAGAGUCAAAUGAUCGAGACAAUUUAGGGAAUUUUUUUGCAUAAUAAAAAUAGACACCAAAGAAUUUUAAUCACA